AUGCUUCCCCUCCUCCGCUCCCGCCCCUCCGCUUCCCGCCUCCGCUGCCGCUUCCUCUCCGCCCUUGCAGCGGGCGGGACGCCUCCGCCGCCGCGGUCCGGCCUAGUGUACGGGUUCGGUGACAACAGCCACGGGGCCGUGGGCCAGCCUGCGCCGGCCGCGGACGUCUACGUCCCCACGCCCGUGCCCUCCCUCCCGUCGUCCGUCGAUGCGGUCGCAGCCGGACACUACCACUCCCUCGCUGUAUCCUCUGCCGGGGAGGUCUGGGCGUGGGGGCGCAACGAAGAGGGCCAGCUCGGCCGCGGGCUCCAGGCCCCGAGGAAUACUUGGAGCAAUCCAGAACAGGUGAGAGGAUUGGAGAAUGUUCAAGUUCGAGCUGUAUCCGCUUCAGGUGUUGUUUCUGCAGCAAUUGGGUGCGAUGGCUCGUUAUGGGUAUGGGGGAGAUCAAAGCGUGGCCAACUUGGGCUUGGCAAAGACAUUGUGGAGGCCACAAUGCCUUCUAGAGUGGAGGCCCUUGCUGGUUACGAUGUUGUUAAGGUAUCAUUUGGAUGGGGGCAUGCCAUGGCACUGACAAAGGAUGGAGGGCUGUUCGGUUGGGGUUUUUCAGAAAAUGGAAGGUUAGGAGAUAUGGGUCAAAGUACCGAAGCACCUUCUCCACAAGAAUACGUUGGGAAAACAAAGGAUAACUAUUCAAGUUCAAUGUUGGAGGCUGUUGAAAAGAUGGUUGCGGACAAAAUUCGGAGCGAGGACAAUAUGCCCAUCAUCUGGGAACCUUCUCUUGUUCAUGAAGUGACUCAUCUUGACGUGUCUGAUGUUUCCUGUGGGCUUGAUCAUUCCCUGAUUCUCGGCUCUAAUGGCACUGUACUGAGUGGUGGAGACAACACUUAUGGACAACUUGGUAGGAAGUCAGGCUGGGCCAAAUUGCUUCCCGUCGACAUAAGCUACAUCCCAUUCUCUGUGUCAGCGAGUGCUGGCCACUCACUUGCUCUGUGCCAUAUAUCAACCAAAGGCACUGACAAUGUUAAAACUGGUGUCCUAUCAUGGGGAUGGAACUGCAGCUCCCAGCUUGGACGACCUGGUCAAGAGGAUGCCCCAGCACUAGUCAACUAUCUGGUUGGUGAGAACCCAAUAACAGCUGCAGCUGGCCGUGUUCAUUCCAUUGUUCUCAUGUCGAACGGAGAUGUUUGGGCUUGGGGAUCUGGACGAAAUGGCAGACUAGGUUUGGGCAGUUCAAUGGAUGAGGCAGAGCCUUGUCUCGUCGAUACCUUGGAAGGAGUAGAGGUCUUACAAGUCGCCACAGGCAUGGACCAUAAUCUCAUAUUGGUUAAAGAAUAG
Molecule: ribosomal RNA, 1335 nt
Filed under: Triticum aestivum (bread wheat)
Lineage: Eukaryota; Viridiplantae; Streptophyta; Magnoliopsida; Poales; Poaceae
Description: partial small subunit ribosomal RNA
Source: RNAcentral